GAGAAUAUAGCUCAUUGGUAGAGUUCAUGCUUAGCAUGCACAAGAUCCUGGGUUCAAUCCCCAGUAUCUCCA
This 72-nucleotide transfer RNA is filed under the name Camelus bactrianus (Bactrian camel). It matches the Rfam family "tRNA". Rfam says of the family: Transfer RNA (tRNA) molecules are approximately 80 nucleotides in length. Their secondary structure includes four short double-helical elements and three loops (D, anti-codon, and T loops). RNAcentral also lists the same sequence under 3 other names. The record is from Rfam by way of RNAcentral. Lineage: Eukaryota; Metazoa; Chordata; Mammalia; Artiodactyla; Camelidae.